Molecule: ribosomal RNA, 530 nt
Filed under: uncultured Chloroflexota bacterium
Lineage: Bacteria; Bacillati; Chloroflexota
Description: bacterial SSU rRNA
Rfam family: Bacterial small subunit ribosomal RNA
Source: RNAcentral
CAGUAGGGAAUAUUGCUUAAUGGGCGCAAGCCUGAAGCAGCAACGCCGCGUGUGCGAUGACGGCCUUCGGGUUGUAAAGCACUUUUAGGGUGGGAAGAGGAAGGACGGUACCAUCUGAAUAAGCCUCGGCUAACUACGUGCCAGCAGCCGCGGUGAAACGUAGGAGGCGAGCGUUAUCCGGAUUUACUGGGUGUAAAGCGCGUGCAGGCGGUUCGUUAAGUUGGAUGUGAAAGCUCCCGGCUCAACUGGGAGAGGUCGUACAAGACUGGCGGACUGGAGUGUGGUAGGGGAAGGUGGAAUUCCGGGUGUAGUGGUGAAAUGCGUAGAUAUCCGGAGGAACACCAGUGGCGAAGGCGGCCUUCUAGACCACAACUGACGCUCAGACGCGAAAGCUAGGGUAGCAAACGGGAUUAGAGACCCCGGUAGUCCUAGCCGUAAACGAUGUGAACUUGGCGGCGGUUGGGUAAAACCGAUCGGUGCCGAAGCAAACGCGAUAAGUUCACCACCUGGGGACUACGGCCGCAAGGUUA